UGGCAGGUACAGAGGGAGUGCUACCGGGCGACCGGAUGCGGAUCUCGAAAGCCUGUCCCAGUUCGGACUGGAGUCUGCAACCCGACUCCACGAAGUUGGAUUCGCUAGUAAUCGCGCAUCAGCCAUGGCGCGGUGAAUACGUUCCCGGGCCUUGUACACACCGCCCGUCAAGCCAUGGGAGCCGGGGGCGCCUGAAGUCCGGGACCGCGAGGACCGGCCUAGGGCGAAACUGGUAACUGGGGCUAAGUCGUAACAAGGUACC
RNAcentral lists this ribosomal RNA (262 nucleotides) under uncultured bacterium. RNAcentral's name for it is "partial 16S ribosomal RNA". It matches the Rfam family "Bacterial small subunit ribosomal RNA", at positions 1231 to 1500 of the family's 1533-position model. The record is from RNAcentral.